Molecule: long non-coding RNA, 820 nt
Organism: Homo sapiens (human)
Lineage: Eukaryota; Metazoa; Chordata; Mammalia; Primates; Hominidae
Exons: 2
Source: RefSeq, a predicted model, not a curated record
GCUGAAGUGCAGUGGCAUGAUCACGGCUCACUGCAGCCUCCACCUCUCAGGCUCAAGUGAUGCUUCCACCUCAGCCUCCUGAGUACCUGGGACUACAACUGUGGGACACAGUACUUCUUCUCUAGGCUACCCAUGGGGUACCCCAACAGCGUUGCCACCACAUACAAUCUUCAUAGAGCUCUUAACUGCAUCCAGCUUUCUCCAGGAGCUCAGGAUGCCCCAGACCCUCAUCGCAGACAGCAUUGCCCUGGAGCUUAUGGCUGGAGAUGAUAUCACCACAGACAUCCCCAACCCAGCCCUGUCCUGGGAGCAGGAUUCUGGCCUCCCUAUUAGGCCUCAGAAACUGGCUGACCACCUGGCUUCACAAACCUGUGUGUUUUCAGGGAAAAUUUUGAUCUCUACAAACCAUGACAUGUAGAGAGGGACACACAUCUGAUUCAGCAGUCCCUGAUCCGCUGAUCCAUGGACACAUUUGCCCACAAGGAAUAACCUAGAAUUUCUCUCUGGUGGAGGUCAGGGGCAUUACAUGAGCUGAGUAGAGCUUAGUUUUUAAUCACUAGACAUAGGCAAGGUGUUUAAGUUAUUACGCUUCCAAGCAGCAUGGUCCUCACUCACUCAAGGUGAGAUAAAUAUUGCUGCAAAGGAACAACAGCUGCAUUGUUGGAGUUUUGCUUUUGAGGCGUGUGUGUGUGUGUGUGUGUGUGUGUGCAUUUGUGUGUGUGUGCGUGAGUUGAUUUCUUUCACAAAAUACAUUUUCACAUACUUCCUUACUCCAAUCUACAUUGCCCCUUCCUUUUAAAUAAAUUUUUUUGAAAACUAA